AAGUGAUAUCUUUUUUCGUCACGGAAGACAAAAUUUUCACAUAAAUGAAUGGGAUAUUACAUGGGAUUUUACAUCUUGUAUUACAAUGCCUCUUUCCAUGUUGCAUACGGCUAACAACACUGACAUCUCUUCCAGGCUCCAACACAAAUAACUGCAGACCAAAAAGAAUAUUGAAGACAAAUGAUCACAUGCAGAGGGUGACCACAUGCACGCACUAUAGAAGCACAACACGAAUGGAAAUAAUGCUACUCUACACCGACACGUUAUCCACAAGCCACAAGUCUCUGGCAUUGACAUAAAUUUACACAACACACUGAAACUUCACUUCUUCAUCACUGCUAUAGAAAUCAAUCAAACGCCUCAUGCUGGGGAAUGCCAGAUAUCAGAGUCAUAGAUAGCAAGGACGAGCUUACUU
RNAcentral lists this unclassified non-coding RNA (415 nucleotides) under Hevea brasiliensis (rubber tree). The record is from RNAcentral. Lineage: Eukaryota; Viridiplantae; Streptophyta; Magnoliopsida; Malpighiales; Euphorbiaceae.